RNAcentral lists this non-coding RNA (955 nucleotides) under Octodon degus (degu). Its description in RNAcentral is "12S ribosomal RNA". It matches the Rfam family "Bacterial small subunit ribosomal RNA". Lineage: Eukaryota; Metazoa; Chordata; Mammalia; Rodentia; Octodontidae. The record is from RNAcentral.
UAAAGGUUUGGUCCUAGCCUUUUUAUUAGUUGUCAAUAAAAUUAUACAUGCAAGAGUCAUCAAACCUGUGAGAAUGCCCUCCAAGUCGCAUCGUGACCUAGAGGAGCUGGUAUCAAGCACACUACCGUAGCUCAUGACACCCCGCUUAGCCACACCCCCACGGGAUACAGCAGUAAUUAAAAUUAAGCAAUAAACGAAAGUUUGACUAAGUUAUAUAACAACUAAGGGUUGGUAAAUCUCGUGCCAGCCACCGCGGUCAUACGAUUAACCCUAAUUAAUAAACCCCGGCGUAAAGAGUGUUAAAGACAAAACUAAAAUAAGAUUAAAAUUUACCCAAGUCGUAAAAAACUACAGGUAAAAAAUAAAUCCACAUACGAAAGUUAUCUUAGUACACCUGAAUCCACUAAAGCUAAGAUCCAAACUGGGAUUAGAUACCCCACUAUGCUUAGCCAUAAACACAGACAUUUAACAACAAAAAUGUUCGCCAGAGAACUACUAGCAACAGCUUAAAACUCAAAGGACUUGGCGGUGCUUUAAACCCACCUAGAGGAGCCUGUUCUAUAAUCGAUAAACCCCGAUAAACCUCACCACUUCUUGCUAAUUCAGCCUAUAUACCGCCAUCUUCAGCAAACCCUAAUAAGGAAAAAAAGUAAGCACAAAUAUACUCAUAAAAACGUUAGGUCAAGGUGUAGCUAAUGAAGUGGUAAGAAAUGGGCUACAUUUUCUUACCUUAAGAAUAUUAACAGUAAUCUUUAUGAAAUCUAAAGAUUUAAGGAGGAUUUAGCAGUAAAUUAAGAAUAGAGAGCUUAAUUGAAUUCGGCCAUGAAGCACGCACACACCGCCCGUCACCCUCCUCAAAUACUCACUCAAAUUUAUAUACAUAUAAAUUACAACCAAUAUGAGAGGAGACAAGUCGUAACAAGGUAAGCAUACUGGAAAGUGUGCUUGGACAAAC